Molecule: long non-coding RNA, 735 nt
Filed under: Salvia miltiorrhiza (redroot sage)
Lineage: Eukaryota; Viridiplantae; Streptophyta; Magnoliopsida; Lamiales; Lamiaceae
Description: long non-coding RNA (SMIL_LNC011933)
Source: RNAcentral
CCCGGUUGACUAGUGCGCCGCGGCUCACUUCACAUUCUGCCCAUUUUCCUUCAAGCAGUCAACCCGGUUGGCUAGUGCGCCGCGGCUCACUGCCUUCUAUUCUCAAUCUUCUUCUAAUCACCCCCGAUUCAUUGUGAGCCAUGGUUAGCAUGCCUUAAACACUCUCUUUUGCGUCGUUGUGAGCUUUCUUCACAAUCUUCAAAUGCUUUAACAUCGACAUUCUUCAUUUAACACCUAAAGCAUCACAAUUAACCAUUAAGCUCAAAUUAACACAAAAUCACCACUACUCUACACAACUUUUACAAUAAAAUAUGACUAAACUAAUAAUAGACAAUUGCACAAACACGACGAAACAUAAGACACCACCACUAAGCAUUUGCUUGUCCUCAAGCAAAAAUCUAGUUCAACGUAGUAGAGUUUGAACUUAAGAGACUUCAUUUCCGGUUAACUCAACAUAGACAUCAUAUCCUCUUCAGAACCAUGGUCAACCAUUUCCCAACAUCAAUGAAAAUCACAAUUAACCCGAAGCAUGUUACUCGUCUAUGAGAUAAUCAAUCGGAUCAGACCCAGCCCCCCAUAAGAAGUGAGUUACCUAAUGCAGCUGUUUUUAUCAACAAGUCUCUUUACAUUUAUUCAACAAUAACGAAAAACUAAAUGAGGUACAUCCCUCUUAUUCCCAAACUCUCAACCUUUUUUUUUCUUUGAUUUUUGUUGCUUUUUUUAUUUUGUUUUUUU